CUACGGGUUGCUCCAGUGGGGAAUAUUGCACAAUGGGCGCAAGCCUGAUGCAGCCAUGCCGCGUGUAUGAAGAAGGCCUUCGGGUUGUAAAGUACUUUCAGCGGGGAGGAAGGGAGUAAAGUUAAUACCUUUGCUCAUUGACGUUACCCGCAGAAGAAGCACCGGCUAACUCCGUGCCAGCAGCCGCGGUAAUACGGAGGGUGCAAGCGUUAAUCGGAAUUACUGGGCGUAAAGCGCACGCAGGCGGUUUGUUAAGUCAGAUGUGAAAUCCCCGGGCUCAACCUAGGAACUGCAUCUGAUACUGGCAAGCUUGAGUGUCGUAGAGGGGGGUAGAAUUCCAGGUGUAGCGGUGAAAUGCGUAGAGAUCUGGAGGAAUACCGGUGGCGAAGGCGGCCCCCUGGACGAAGACUGACGCUCAGGUGCGAAAGCGUGGGGAGCAAACAGGAUUAGAUACCCCCGUAGUC
Molecule: ribosomal RNA, 464 nt
Filed under: uncultured bacterium
Lineage: Bacteria
Description: partial 16S ribosomal RNA
Rfam family: Bacterial small subunit ribosomal RNA
Source: RNAcentral